Molecule: ribosomal RNA, 996 nt
Filed under: uncultured bacterium
Lineage: Bacteria
Description: bacterial SSU rRNA
Rfam family: Bacterial small subunit ribosomal RNA
Source: RNAcentral
GUGAGGAAUAUUGGACAAUGGGCGGGAGCCUGAUCCAGCCAUGCCGCGUGCAGGAAGACGGCCCUAUGGGUUGUAAACUGCUUUUAUACGGGAAGAAACACUCCCUCGUGAGGGAGCUUGACGGUACCGUAAGAAUAAGGAUCGGCUAACUCCGUGCCAGCAGCCGCGGUAAUACGGAGGAUCCAAGCGUUAUCCGGAAUCAUUGGGUUUAAAGGGUCCGUAGGCGGGACAAUAAGUCAGCGGUGAAAGUCUGUGGCUCAACCAUAGAAUUGCCAUUGAUACUGUUGUUCUUGAGUGUUUAUGAAGUGGUUGGAAUAUGUAGUGUAGCGGUGAAAUGCAUAGAUAUUACAUAGAACACCGAUUGCGAAGGCAGAUCACUAAUAAAAUACUGACGCUGGUGGACGAAAGCGUAGGUAGCGAACAGGAUUAGAUACCCUGGUAGUCUACGCCGUAAACGAUGGUUACUAGCUGUUCGGUCGUAAGACUGAGUGGCUAAGCGAAAGUGAUAAGUAACCCACCUGGGGAGUACGUUCGCAAGAAUGAAACUCAAAGGAAUUGACGGGGGCCCGCACAAGCGGUGGAGCAUGUGGUUUAACUCGAUGAUACGCGAGGAACCUUACCAGGGCUUAAAUGUAGUUUGACCGAUUUGGAAACAGAUCUUUCGCAAGACAAAUUACAAGGUGCUGCAUGGUUGUCGUCAGCUCGUGCCGUGAGGUGUCAGGUUAAGUCCUAUAACGAGCGCAACCCCUGUUGUUAGUUGCCAGCGAGUAAUGUCGGGAACUCUAACAAGACUGCCAGUGCAAACUGUGAGGAAGGUGGGGAUGACGUCAAAUCAUCACAGCCCUUACGUCCUGGGCCACACACGUGGUACAAUGGUAGGGACAGAGAGCAGCCACGUCGCAAGGCGGAGCGAAUCUAUAAACCCUAUCUCAGUUCGGAUCGGAGUCUGCAACUCGACUCCGUGAAGCUGGAAUCGCUAGUAAUCGCAUAUCAGCC